GCUGGUCUGAGAGGAUGAUCAGCCACACUGGGACUGAGACACGGCCCAGACUCCUACGGGAGGCAGCAGCAAGGAAUCUUGGGCAAUGGGCGAAAGCCUGACCCAGCAACGCCGCGUGAGGGAUGAAGGCUUUCGGGUUGUAAACCUCUUUUCAUAGGGAAGAAUAAUGACGGUACCUGUGGAAUAAGCUUCGGCUAACUACGUGCCAGCAGCCGCGGUAAUACGUAGGAAGCAAGCGUUAUCCGGAUUUAUUGGGCGUAAAGUGAGCGUAGGUGGUCUUUCAAGUUGGAUGUGAAAUUUCCCGGCUUAACCGGGACGAGUCAUUCAAUACUGUUGGACUAGAGUACAGCAGGAGAAAACGGAAUUCCCGGUGUAGUGGUAAAAUGCGUAGAUAUCGGGAGGAACACCAGAGGCGAAGGCGGUUUUCUAGGUUGUCACUGACACUGAGGCUCGAAAGCGUGGGGAGCGAACAGAAUUAGAUACUCUGGUAGUCCACGCCUUAAACUAUGGACACUAGGUAUAGGGAGUAUCGACCCUCUCUGUGCCGAAGCUAACGCUUUAAGUGUCCCGCCUGGGGAGUACGGUCGCAAGGCUAAAACUCAAAGGAAUUGACGG
This 615-nucleotide ribosomal RNA is filed under the name uncultured bacterium. Its description in RNAcentral is "bacterial SSU rRNA". It matches the Rfam family "Bacterial small subunit ribosomal RNA", at positions 286 to 916 of the family's 1533-position model. The record is from RNAcentral.